Cloeon dipterum is the source of this 466-nucleotide long non-coding RNA. RefSeq lists it as uncharacterized. The transcript has 2 exons. NCBI's taxonomy places the organism in Eukaryota, Metazoa, Arthropoda, Insecta, Ephemeroptera, Baetidae. The record is from RefSeq and is a predicted model, not a curated record.
CGAGCCUGGUAUUUUCCGGCCAAUCGUCUUGAUGAAAAGGUAGAUAAAAUACCAUGCAAACUUUUACGAUUGAUUUAAUACUUUUUUAUUAAAAAAACUCAAUAUAUUUCCUGAAAAUCUUGCUGAGACUUUUAGAAUAACCGGUUGCAUCCUAAGAAUCGAUUUUAAUCGAAAACGUAACUAGGUACCAUGGUUUUCAGAGUCGCUGAUUUUAUUUAGGCCCUAAAUUUGACGCUGCGGCGGCAGAAGCAAUUUGGGUCAGCGUGCUUUUUUGGGGGGACUGCAUUGAGUGAGUGCAACACCACUACCCUACUAAGCAACCCCUCACCAGCCGCCGACCUACUGUAAAAGAGCCGCACUCCUCUCCACUGCGGAGGACAGCGCAAGCUGCGUGAUAUGUACUCACACGCAUGUAACACAGUAUUUGUUAAACAAAAUACAAGUAGAACGAGAAAAGUUGUGGCAA